Molecule: long non-coding RNA, 423 nt
Organism: Episyrphus balteatus (marmalade hoverfly)
Lineage: Eukaryota; Metazoa; Arthropoda; Insecta; Diptera; Syrphidae
Exons: 3
Source: RefSeq, a predicted model, not a curated record
UGAACACUUGAAAUUUAUUUUUUUUUCUUUUUCGUAUUUUUUUUGUUUUUGUUUUUUGAAUUUGCUAUCGAAUUUCUUUGUGUCAAACUCAGGAACAAAUUGUUAUAUUUUUGCUCUUCGAUGGGGAUUGGAAAUACUCUUUAUUGAUUUCAAAAUACAAAAUAUAAGUCAUUUCAUAGGAUAACAAAAUGUAGGGAUUUUCAGCUUUUUGUUCCAGUGGUUGUUGUUCCUUGGUCUCCUUUCGUGCUGCCAUCUCAUGAGGGUUAUUGGAAACUAAUAGUUACUAUGCAACACAUGCUUUCACAUUUUUCAUUCUUCAUCAUCAUCAUCAUCGUCGUCUGUAUAUGAAGAAGGAAAAGGAGGAAACACAAAAAUACAAAAGUGAGGGGGUGGAAAAAAGAAUUUUUUUCUAACCUUCAGCAG